Molecule: long non-coding RNA, 891 nt
Organism: Nerophis ophidion (straightnose pipefish)
Lineage: Eukaryota; Metazoa; Chordata; Actinopteri; Syngnathiformes; Syngnathidae
Exons: 5
Source: RefSeq, a predicted model, not a curated record
GAGGAAGUGCAAGGGGAUGGAUGCCAAACAUCAGAGCGAAUGAGGAAGGGCAUCAACAGGAUGAAUAAAUAAACUCUUUCCCCCUGAAUUAAUCUCUCUCAAGUUGAUAUUCUAUUACAGCUUGGACAUCUCCAUGGUAACUGGGAUUCCGCCGGCGUUCCCAAGUGGAUUGGCAGCGUGGCAUGUGCAGACUAACAGUGUGACAGUUGCCAGACGUGGCGGAGUUGCCCGAGUUGGAAUGCCAGAGGGAAUGGAGCGCCACAUGGCAUGUUGAUGGCGGGGCCAGCUAGGGGGGAAACCAGGCCGUUUUCUGCCUUCAGGAGUAUCAUAAGCCAACGCAUCGCGCAAAAAACGUGCAAAGCUGGACAGACAGUGACCAUCUACAUGUCCUGCAAUAAGCAGGCUACUUCCUGCUUCGUGGAGCAUCACUAACAGAUGGGCCGUGCCGUUAUGAUUCUGGAAAAGGGUAAAAGGUUCCCUGGAUCGUCCAUCCUGCACUGUGACUUGGAAGGGUUGCGGGGGGAUCGCUGGAGCCUAUCUCAGCUGCGUUCGGGCGGUUGGCGGGGUACACCCUGGACAAGUCACCACUUCAUCGCAAGGUUAAUAUUUUGCUUAUCUAAAAUUGUGGUUCCUUUCAAGAACCAUAGUUGGCUCAUCUAGAACUAUUUGAGUCUAGAAAAAAUAUUUGGCUGAUCUGGAAUAAGAUGUAAUUUAGGAAUAAUAGAUGUAUAAUCUAGAGCAGGGGUCACCAACCUUUUUGAAACCAAGAGCUACUUCUUGGGUACUGAUUAAUGUGAAGGGCUACCAGUUUGAUACACACUUAAAUAAAUUGCCAGAAAUAUCCAAUUUGCUCAUCCAUCCAUCCAUUUCUACCGCUUAUUCCCUUUUGGG